AAACCUGCAAARCAGACCGCGAACACGUGUUUAACACCACGGUGCACGGCGCGGGGGCAAGCCCCYCSGUSKKGUYUCCGCCCCCGCCRACGUGCUCCCUCGGGUCGCWUCGUGCGGGCUAACRAACCCCGGCGCGRAAUGCGCCAAGGAAAACUAAACRAAAGGUCCGCCUCCUGCAUCCCGUUCGCGRAGUGUGCGGGGGGAUCGGSCCUCGAAAAAAUGUCAAAAYGACUCUCGGCAACGGAUAUCUCGGCUCUCGCAUCGAUGAAGAACGUAGCGAAAUGCGAUACUUGGUGUGAAUUGCAGAAUCCCGUGAACCAUCGAGUCUUUGAACGCAAGUUGCGCCCGAAGCCAUUAGGCCGAGGGCACGUCUGCCUGGGCGUCACGCAUCGCGUCGCCCCCCUUUCCCGCCCACCGCGGCGGUUAUGGGGGCGGAUAUUGGCCUCCCGUGCGCCUCGGCGUGCGGCCGGCCCAAAUACGAUCCCUCGGCGACUCGUGUCACGACAAGUGGUGGUUGAAUAUUCAAUCUCGCGCGCAGUCGUGCUGCUGCGUCGUCCGUUCGGGGAUCCACGAAUGACCCAACAGUGAGAGUACCUCACUUUCGACCGCGACCCCAGGUCAGGCGGGAUU
This 630-nucleotide ribosomal RNA is filed under the name Lepechinia mexicana. RNAcentral describes it as "eukaryotic LSU rRNA". The stretch from base 230 to 385 matches the Rfam family "5.8S ribosomal RNA". Lineage: Eukaryota; Viridiplantae; Streptophyta; Magnoliopsida; Lamiales; Lamiaceae. The record is from RNAcentral.